UUAAAAGCAAAGAUAUAGGAUAUGUCCUUAUGAAACGCUAUUGUAGAGAGAAGACGGCUGGUGAAAGUCUUUAUGGUCUUUAUAGGGGUACUCCCUAUGAGCUGCGCUCGAAAGAGAUUGCCGUUUCUCGCGUUAAGAGUCUAGAGGUUAUCGUAUGAUAACGAAUAAAGGUGGUACCACGAGUCUUCGUCCUUUGG
This 197-nucleotide non-coding RNA is filed under the name Kandleria vitulina. RNAcentral describes it as "T-box sequence". It matches the Rfam family "T-box leader". Rfam says of the family: Uncharged tRNA acts as the effector for transcription antitermination of genes in the T-box leader family. T-boxes are found upstream of many aminoacyl-tRNA synthetase genes and some amino acid biosynthetic genes usually in Gram-positive bacteria. Lineage: Bacteria; Bacillati; Bacillota; Erysipelotrichia; Erysipelotrichales; Coprobacillaceae. The record is from RNAcentral.